AUGCUCGGGCCAGCGCCAGCCCCCGGCCUCCUCCGCUCUGCGACCUGUGAUGUGCUGCGGGGCAGUGACGCAGCAGCGCCGCCGGCCCCGGCAAUUCCUCUUUCGCUCCCGCCACAAGGGGAUUUUGCCCCAGAGCUGCCCAGGGACGACGCCGGUGAUGCCGCGCUCCCGGGGGCCUCCCGGAGCCUCGCGGCAGCAGGAAAACCGAGGCGGACAAAGGGAUGUGGCCGGGCGCAGGCGGCAGAGCCGGGAGCCCAGCCCCGGUGCGGUCCCUGGAGCGCGGCAGAGCCCCGGCCCCCACGAGCCCAUGCGGGCAGCCCCGGCCUCUUCCCUAUUCCCGCGCCGGGCAUUUGGCCACCACGGCCUGCCCCAGCGCUCCCAGGGUUGCACCAGCCUGUGCUUCCUCCCGCCGGUCCCGUGCUCGCGUCCUGUGACAGUGCCAGCCCCGCUCGCCCUGCCGGGCCCCUUUUCCCGCAUCCCCCCCCCCCAAUUCCCCGAGCCCGGAGGGGGGCAGGCGCGAGGCCGGAGCCCCCCUGCCGCCCCGUCCCGGCGUGGGGCUCCCGUCGCCGCCGCCGUGGGGAAGCCGCUGCCCGUGGCUGUUUUGACGUGCGCCCACCCCGCACCGACUUUGCGAGGAGCCAGCAGUGGGAAGCAUUGCGCCUCCCUGCCCCGGCUUAUCAGCGCUUACAGGAAACUCCUUCUCCCGCUCCAGCCCCUUCCAGGAAGGUGAAGCGCUGGGCACCGCGGCUGGGCCAGCACCGAGCCCGGGGCAGCCGGAGGGCCCCGGCCAGCAGGCAAAUAUUGACAGAGGCGGGAAGGCCGCGGGCGCCCGGCUCUGCUCUUUGCUCCGAGCUAACGGUAAAGAGCUGCCCUUGGGCGCCGGGGCCCUGCCGCCAGCCCGCGCCGGGCACCGGCCAGGCCUGCGGCACCACGCGGCCACCCGCUGCUGCCGCCCCGGCCCCAGGGCAGAGCAGCGGGGUCCUGUCCCUCCGCACGGGGUAG
RNAcentral lists this long non-coding RNA (1002 nucleotides) under Apteryx owenii (little spotted kiwi). RNAcentral's name for it is "lncRNA (ENSAOWG00000004507.1)". The record is from RNAcentral. Lineage: Eukaryota; Metazoa; Chordata; Aves; Apterygiformes; Apterygidae.